Molecule: unclassified non-coding RNA, 925 nt
Filed under: Hevea brasiliensis (rubber tree)
Lineage: Eukaryota; Viridiplantae; Streptophyta; Magnoliopsida; Malpighiales; Euphorbiaceae
Source: RNAcentral
CCCGUUUCCAGAGGAAGCACGGCUGUCCGAUCUAAUGAUUUCACCAAAUGUCAGGCGUUAACAGUUGACUUGAAGUGAUCAUCGUCAAUUGUUGAGUAAACAAAGCCAUUGUCAACAAGAGACUGUAAUUCGUCCAUGAGCUUAUCCAUUGGAAUAUUUAGCUGCUGGGCAACAACGUUGCGGUGCACUCCAUCCUCGUUUGUAAGGUAUAUGGGCUGCUGCAAAAAAUUCAAUAUCAUCUGACCAACAUUGUUCAAUCCAUCAGCAGACGAAUAAGCAGAAGAUUGAUUUAGAGGGGCCGUUUGGUAUCCUUUCAAAGGGGUGUUCAUGGUUGAAUUUGCCAGCUGUGACUGAGUAGUGGCACCCGGUAGCCGUAUCCUUUUAUUGUAGAAAUGGACAUAAAUACACUCAAUGAAGUGGCUAGUAAUCUCAUUGAAGUCAGUAAUAGGCCUAAUGGAGAAGACAUUUAUGAAUCUUCUACCCUGCAGCCCUCUCAAGUGUCCAUGAACACGAACAUACUUUCCAACUAAGAUUCCCUCCGCUUCAUCUGUGUCAAUGCGUUCUUGCACCCAUCUGGUACAUUCAAUCUGUCCAGUCCCAUCAUCAACAAGGAAGGUAUACUCACUAGCUUUGUCUUCCUUUUGGCAUACUCUCCCCACAAUUGUAACAUUGGUCACUUCAACACCAUCAAUGACGAAAUUGGAUUCAUCAUUGCUUGGUAGCUCGCAUAUCUGCUUCACCGUCAGUGCUAAUAAACAUCUAGCCUCGCGAUUUCUGGAAGAUAGCAAGGAGGAGGAGGAAUCCGGCAGCUGGGUAGUCUGAGAGGGCAUGAAACCACCACCCAUGAAGGCGGCUGCGCUGCCAUCGAAUUCACUGCUUCGAUACAUAUUCCCUUCGUUUCUUCUUCUUCCGCACUCUAUUGCAC